UCCUAAGUGGCUCAGUGGUAUAAAGAAUCCACCUGCAAUGUGGAGACUCAGGUUCAAUCCCUGGGUUGGGAA
Molecule: transfer RNA, 72 nt
Filed under: Bos taurus (domestic cattle)
Lineage: Eukaryota; Metazoa; Chordata; Mammalia; Artiodactyla; Bovidae
Also listed under: 5 other names
Rfam family: tRNA
About the family: Transfer RNA (tRNA) molecules are approximately 80 nucleotides in length. Their secondary structure includes four short double-helical elements and three loops (D, anti-codon, and T loops). Further hydrogen bonds mediate the characteristic L-shaped molecular structure. tRNAs have two regions of fundamental functional importance: the anti-codon, which is responsible for specific mRNA codon recognition, and the 3' end, to which the tRNAs corresponding amino acid is attached (by aminoacyl-tRNA synthetases). tRNAs cope with the degeneracy of the genetic code in two manners: having more than one tRNA (with a specific anti-codon) for a particular amino acid; and 'wobble' base-pairing, i.e. permitting non-standard base-pairing at the 3rd anti-codon position.
Source: Rfam by way of RNAcentral